Marmota monax (woodchuck) is the source of this 807-nucleotide long non-coding RNA. RefSeq lists it as uncharacterized. The transcript is spliced from 2 exons. NCBI's taxonomy places the organism in Eukaryota, Metazoa, Chordata, Mammalia, Rodentia, Sciuridae. The record is from RefSeq and is a predicted model, not a curated record.
UGUUCUCUUCAUUAAAACUUCUGGCCAGGCCCGAGCGCUCCUGGUGCUGGCCUGGCAAGACCUGCCUCGACCAUGAGCGAGGGAGGCCUCCACCUCCCUGUGCAGAAGCCCAGGCCUCCUCGAUGGAUGACGGGGUCAGAAGCAAGAACAGGCAGGACCGGUCAGGAUGGCUGUGAGGGACAGGAAAAGCAGCCCCAGAUCGCAGACUGGGACCACAGAUAUGGACACCCGUCCAUGAGGUUCCGUGGUUCCGUGGCCCCGUGGGCCCCGGCUGCGGGCACUCCCUCCUCUCCUUGGAGAGCUCCAGAUCCUGUGACCCCACGGAACCCUGGAACUGACGGGACAGGAGGCAGUCAGCACCUGUCAACAGCCGCGGGGAACCCAAGGACGAGGGGAGACAGCAGCAGGCCCAGCUUGGUCCAGGGCAGCGGAGACGGAGUGGGAGCCAGGUGCCAGCAAGACCCACCCUCAGCCCCUGGGCCCUGUGUGCUCCUGGGCGCACUGGUUACAAGUCUGAUCAGGCACCUGUACCUUCUGCCCUGGGCUGAGCACAACAGACCAGAAGCAGCUCCCCAGCUACCUUGCACCUGGAGGAGGGGACAGGGAUCCAAAGAGGAUGUGCUGCAGGUCCCCGUGGUCACCUACCUCUGAGGUUGCUCGAGUCCCUUAUAGAAAUGACAGCAGUGGUUCUUGCAUAUGACCCUAAGGGCUUCCUCCCUGUACUUUAAACAAUCCCUAGGUUACUCCUAAGGCCUAACACAAUGUAAAUGCUACGUAAACAGUUGUGAUGUUGAUUUUUUCUUCCUA